AUUGAACGCUGGCGGAAUGCUUUACACAUGCAAGUCGAACGGUAGAGGGGGCAACCCCUUGAGAGUGGCGAACGGGUGAGUAAUAUAUCGGAACGUGCCCAGUCGUGGGGAUAACGUAGCGAAAGUUACGCUAAUACCGCAUACGAUCUACGGAUGAAAGCGGGGGACUCGCAAGAGCCUCGCGCGAUUGGAGCGGCCGAUAUCAGUAUUAGGUAGUUGGGUAGGGGUAAAGGCUCACCAAGCCAACGAUCUGUAGCUGGUCUGAGAGGACGACCAGCCACACUGGAACUGAGACACGGUCCAGACUCCUACGGGAGGCAGCA
This 323-nucleotide ribosomal RNA is filed under the name uncultured bacterium. RNAcentral's name for it is "bacterial SSU rRNA". It matches the Rfam family "Bacterial small subunit ribosomal RNA", at positions 30 to 353 of the family's 1533-position model. The record is from RNAcentral.